RNAcentral lists this transfer RNA (71 nucleotides) under Ischnura elegans. RNAcentral's name for it is "tRNA-Val". Lineage: Eukaryota; Metazoa; Arthropoda; Insecta; Odonata; Coenagrionidae. The record is from RNAcentral.
UCUAUGUAGGUUAACUUCCUACAAAUAGUACUUGUAUUUAAAUGAUGUUAUUUUAAGAUUUUUAGGAGGUA